UAAAGAUUUGCCUCCUGUGAAGAUAUUCUAAGGAGUGUUGAUGCGAACUCGGAAGGCAUAUCCUAAAGAGGAAUUUCCAAAGGGUCUGCUCAAGGAACUCAUGCUUUACCCAGGAAUCUAAGAAAUGUUGGACCUUUUGGAUAGAGGAUCUAUUUCAUGGCCUGCACUUGCUAUAAAUUACCAGCAGAUGGCAGCAGACACUGUGUAUUUAAAACCUCAACGGCAACUGAGAAAAUUGCACAUUCCGAACGGUCACUACUAUCAGUGAAAUGUUCCUUGACCACGUGACCUCAGUGACAUUUGCGGGAAUAUAACUGAGGAUGAUGGAUUCUUCUGCCCGAGACUGCGAAUGGAAAAUCUGGGAUGAUGCUUUUGAGUUAAAGCCGUUACAGAGCCUUGGCAGAGUUCUAGGACCAUGGG
Long non-coding RNA from Suricata suricatta (meerkat), 420 nucleotides. RefSeq lists it as uncharacterized. The record is from RefSeq and is a predicted model, not a curated record. NCBI's taxonomy places the organism in Eukaryota, Metazoa, Chordata, Mammalia, Carnivora, Herpestidae. The transcript has 3 exons.